CCAGGCUCCACCUCAGUGGGCACCUGGCUGGAGUUACUCCAGGGACCCCCUCCCACCGGGCUGUCUCAUCUGCACCCUUGGGAUGCGGGGCAAAGAGGGCUGGGAGUCUUCCAGUUCAGCAGGUCAAGUGCCCUCAGUAUGGCACUUUGCCCCACUCUGUGCUGUGGAGCCCCUCUGGCUCCUCCUCUCCAAGAGUUACUGAGACAUAUAUUGCAGCAACAGGUCAGAAUCAAGCUAAACUGACAAGUAAUUUUUAGGAAAAAAGAUCUGAAGGAAGCACUGAAAUUGAAGAAGAAACUCUAAGCCACACAUAAGAAUUUGCUAAUUCAGCCAAGCUCAGAGACCAAAACCCCUUUCUUUCAUGAAGCAUGUUCCUGGAAUUGCAAGGUGAAUUGCUAAAUCAGAACUUUCUAGGAGCAAAUUUUCCACAGCUUGACUUGGAAAUGCAUGUGCUCCCACAGUCACGUGACCCCCUUGGACGACAAACACAGCGACUUUGUGAGCAGUCUGCCGAUGAUAACAUUCCUGCAGCAGCCUUCUGAACAGUCAGGUCAGAGUCUCAGCCAAGAAAAGAGACCAAAACCCCUUUCUUUCAUGAAGCUUUUUCCUGGAAGUGCAAGGUAAAUUGCUAAACCAGAACUUUCUAGGAGGUAAGAUCUUUCCAGUGGCUAGAGGACUGCUGUGGUGGCUGCUGUUCCAUGCCUGCCUGCCACAUACACAGGCUGAGAACAGAUGAGAGCUCAGGCCACAACAAGUAGCCACAGGCACACACUUCUCUGGCUGUACUUCUUCUAGAACAACCGCCAGUCAUGCAUCCAUUCAGCAUGUUUUCCUUGAACAUUAAAUACUAGGCGUGUGUUAGUGCUGAGGUAGACACAAAGAAAGGUAAGGAAUUAUCCUGCCCCCAAGGAGGCUGUGGUCUGAUGAUAUAUCGCAUCAAAUGCAGAUGAAAGAACACAGGCAAGAGGUGAGGGUCCUGACUUGGUGAUUUGGAAGUCACCCAGUGGCUCAGUUUCCCCAUUUAGACAUUGAGGGUUUCAGGCUGGAGGAGAGGCAAUGUUGCUUCUAUGCCAUUUGCUCUUCUCUUGUCACUGUGGGUGCCACUUAAUUUCAUAUAAGCUUCUGUGCUCAGGUCUCUGAAGAAAGCAGAACAAUUCCAUAGGGUGGAACUUGAAAUUCUAGACACAAACUGUAUUUCCAUAGGUCUCACUAAGCUUGGGGCAAAAUGACCAGUUAGAAAUAAUUGGGCUUGGCCAGGUACAGUGGCUCAUGCCUGUAAUCCCAACACUUCGGGAGGCUGAGGUGGGCAGAUCACUUUGAGCUCAGGAGUUCAAGACCAGCCUGGGCAACAUAGUGAAACCCUGUCUCUACUAAAAAUACAAAAAUUAGCUGGGUGUGGUGGUGUGUGCCUGUAAUCCCAGCUACUUGGGAGGCUGAGGCAGGAGAAUCGCUUGAACCCAGGAGGCAGAGGUUGCAGUGAGCCGAGACUGUGCCAUUGCACUCCAGCAUGGGCAACAAGAGCAAAACUCUGUCUCAAAAAAAAAAAAAAAAGAAAGAAAGAAAGAAAAGAAAUCAAAGAAAAGAAAAGAAAAGAAAUAGUGGGGCUCUUGCUCUUUUCCACCUCUCAACUUGGGGCAUCCUUGCUCCUUUCCAAGGAGUCUCUCAGGUACAUCUUGGGACCACAGGUAGAUCUCACAAAUGCUCAUAAUCCCCUGGCUGCCCAGGUCCCUGCACCCCCAUGCCACGCAGGGGCGCUGCAGCCUUCCCAUGGUGUCUGGUAUUGCAGGUGUUCCUUCCUCCCGCAGCUACUGAAGCCGCUAAGACAUCACUGCCUCCUCUCCCAAAGGUACAAUUGCUGCUGCUCCCUGGAGAUGCCCCAGUACUCCCACAGCCUUAGAACAGGUGGGGCCCUGACAUGACCACUGCCUCUGCCCCCAGUUGUCCACCCAUUAAGCUGUUGCGUGUCAACAUUCUCUGUGCUGUUUCAAAGGACUUCCCAGGGAAAGUUCUUUUCCCAAAACUUUUUGCCACAUUCUGUUAUACAUGUCCCAGAGCAGCCCUACCUUGUCCUGGGGUUUGGUGAGAGACAGUAGAGUCUGGGCAGAGUGGUGAAGAACUCACGGUCAAGGGCCAGAAGGUCCGGUUUGAAUCCUGGUUCCUCUACUUAGAAGCUGUGUGAUGUAGGGCAAGUUGCUUCUCCUCUCUGGGCUUCAGUUCCUCUUGCAUCAAAUGGGAAUGACAACAUUAUUUAUUUCAAGGGGGUUGUGACAAUCCAUUGAGUCAUCACAUAUCAAAUGUUUGGAGCAGCAUUUGGUGCACACUAAAUGCUUGAUAUGUCCUUGUAUUUGUACUUUUAAAGAUGGUGAAUUCUCAAAGAGCCAGCAAGAGCUUGUGUUUAUUUCUGUUUGUAGCUCUAGCUCAUAGCACCUGCUUUGCACAGGACAGGUGCCCAUUUGGUGAACAAAUGAGUUAAUGAAUAAAUGAGUAAAACAAACAUGAGCCCAGAAGACUGGAUAGAGGAAGGCCAUCAACCCGGAAAACAACCACAAUGCCACCACCGGAAAGGCUCAAGGGCCUCAGAGGAUUCUGGGAGAGUGACAGAGGAGGCAAUGGGAAGAACAGAGCUCCACCCAGUUCAUCCCUACACCCAUGGUAAACUCCCAGUAACACACCCAGUAGUGGAGCCAACAUGGAUAAGAGAAAUUUGGCUACACUGUGAAUGGUUCCCAUCCUCAGAGCAGCCCUGCCCUCAAAGGGUGGGAAGAUGUUGUCUUCCUGGGGAGACGGAAAGUUAGGAAGGGUGGGCAUGGAGGCCUUAGGAAGAGAUAGCCUUGAUCAUCUGAAACUUUGAGUUCCUUGUAUAGUCAGUUGUAUAUAAGUUUCACUUUAUUUCUGUGCUUUUUGUGAGAAUACAGACUGAAAAAAUGGUUUUAUCCACUCACAUUAGGACAAUUGAAAUUUUCAGACUUCACUUGCAUGCAUGGCAGGGUUUCACUGUCCAUAUAGUUCUUGCCCCCACCUCUUAAAAGCAUGCCCAAAGCUAAGACACUAUAGAUCUGGGUGACAACAUGCAGCUCCAAGCCUCUCUCGACAAGACCACUGCCCCCUCCCUUUUGUCUCCCCGUCUUACUUUUCUCUUCCACCACAUCUACCAGCCACAGUUUUAUUUUUUUGUAUGUCCCUGCCUCUCCUGCAAGGAGUUAAGGGACUGGGUCACAGUCCUAGAACUGCUGACCUAUAUCUGUGCUAUGAAGAGCAGCAGCUCAUGGCUCAGGCCCUCAGGAAAAGUGACAGCAGUGAUCUUGUGUGUUAACGUCACUGCCUUCCACAUUCAUAGCUUCACAUACUGCAUCAUUCAUUGAAAAAUUAAAAUUCAUCAUCUUUCCCCAGAAUGAGGCUAACAGACUUUAAUUGUAAGAAUCAGGAAAAGCUGUGACAUUUUAAUUAUAACAGUUUUUAAUUAAAGGAGUAUUACCUCAUUUGAUCUGUUAAAGAAAAAUUAUUCAUGAUACUUGUCAAAGAUGGCAAGGUAGGCUUUAUGCAAGGGGUCCAUGGUGAUUGGCAUCAGGUCUUGUAGUGAGGGAAAAAGACUGGACUCAACUCUGGCUCCAAAAAGGAUAAGUAGGGAUUUAUUACAAGGAGCAGGGUGGAGGUCAAUAGAUGGAAAAUUACUAUGAGGAAUUGUCAGGGAUAAGGUGUUUCUGGCUAAAUUGACUUGACAGUUUAUUGCUGAAGGCAAGGGUGGUCAGAUACCAGAGUAGGGGUCUUGGUUAAUUUGGCUUAGCAGGAUUCUUGCUCAAACUGGAUUCUGGCCGGGCAUGGUGGCUCAUGCUUGUAAUCCCAGCAUUUUGGGAGGCUGAGGAGAAGGGCGAUCAUGAGGUCAGGAGUUCAAGACCAGCCUGGCCAACACAGUGAAACCCCAUCUCUACUAAAAAUACAAAAAUUAGCUGAGUGUGGUG
RNAcentral lists this long non-coding RNA (3959 nucleotides) under Homo sapiens (human). Its description in RNAcentral is "HSALNT0111353". The record is from RNAcentral. Lineage: Eukaryota; Metazoa; Chordata; Mammalia; Primates; Hominidae.